Molecule: ribosomal RNA, 467 nt
Filed under: uncultured bacterium
Lineage: Bacteria
Description: partial 16S ribosomal RNA
Rfam family: Bacterial small subunit ribosomal RNA
Source: RNAcentral
GAUGAACGCUGGCGGCGUGCUUAACACAUACAAGUCGAACGGAAAGGCCCAAGCUUGCUUGGGUACUCGAGUGGCGAACGGGUGAGUAACACGUGGGUGAUCUGCCCUGCACUUCGGGAUAAGCCUGGGAAACUGGGUCUAAUACCGGAUAGGACCACUUCUUGGAUGUUGUGGUGGAAAGUUUUUUCGGUGUGGGAUGAGCUCGCGGCCUAUCAGCUUGUUGGUGGGGUAAUGGCCUACCAAGGCGUCGACGGGUAGCCGGCCUGAGAGGGUGUACGGCCACAGUGGGACUGAGAGACGGCCCAGACUCCUACGGGAGGCAGCAGUGGGGAAUAUUGCACAAUGGGCGCAAGCCUGAUGCAGCGACGCCGCGUGGGGGAUGACGGCCUUCGGGUUGUAAACUCCUUUCGCUAGGGACGAAGCGUUUUGUGACGGUACCUGGAGAAGAAGCACCGGCUAACUACGUG